GGGUUGUGAGGUUAAGCGACUAAGCGUACACGGUGGAUGCCCUGGCAGUCAGAGGCGAUGAAGGGCGUGCUAAUCUGCGAUAAGCGCCGGUAAGGUGAUAUGAACCGUUAUAACCGGCGAUACCCGAAUGGGGAAACCCAGUGUGUUUCGACACACUAUCAUUAACUGAAUCCAUAGGUUAAUGAGGCGAACCGGGGGAACUGAAACAUCUAAGUACCCCGAGGAAAAGAAAUCAACCGAGAUUCCCCCAGUAGCGGCGAGCGAACGGGGAGGAGCCCAGAGUCUGAAUCAGCAUGUGUGUUAGUGGAAGCGUCUGGAAAGGCGCGCGAUACAGGGUGACAGCCCCGUACACAAAAGCGCAUGUGCUGUGAGCUCGAUGAGUAGGGCGGGACACGUGGUAUCCUGUCUGAAUAUGGGGGGACCAUCCUCCAAGGCUAAAUACUCCUGACUGACCGAUAGUGAACCAGUACCGUGAGGGAAAGGCGAAAAGAACCCCGGCGAGGGGAGUGAAAAAGAACCUGAAACCGUGUACGUACAAGCAGUGGGAGCACCCUUUUGGGUGUGACUGCGUACCUUUUGUAUAAUGGGUCAGCGACUUAUAUUCUGUAGCAAGGUUAACCGAAUAGGGGAGCCGGAGGGAAACCGAGUCUUAAUUGGGCGUUAAGUUGCAGGGUAUAGACCCGAAACCCGGUGAUCUAGCCAUGGGCAGGUUGAAGGUUGGGUAACACUAACUGGAGGACCGAACCGACUAAUGUUGAAAAAUUAGCGGAUGAUCUGUGGCUGGGGGUGAAAGGCCAAUCAAACCGGGAGAUAGCUGGUUCUCCCCGAAAGCUAUUUAGGUAGCGCCUCGUGAAUUCAUCUCCGGGGGUAGAGCACUGUUUCGGCUAGGGGGCCAUCCCGGCUUACCAACCCGAUGCAAACUGCGAAUACCGGAGAAUGUUAUCACGGGAGACACACGGCGGGUGCUAACGUCCGUCGUGAAGAGGGAAACAACCCAGACCGCCAGCUAAGGUCCCAAAGUCAUGGUUAAGUGGGAAACGAUGUGGGAAGGCCCAGACAGCCAGGAUGUUGGCUUAGAAGCAGCCAUCAUUUAAAGAAAGCGUAAUAGCUCACUGGUCGAGUCGGCCUGCGCGGAAGAUGUAACGGGGCUAAACCAUGCACCGAAGCUGCGGCAGCGACGCUGAUGCGUUGUUGGGUAGGGGAGCGUUCUGUAAGCCUG
RNAcentral lists this ribosomal RNA (1219 nucleotides) under Salmonella enterica subsp. enterica serovar Cotham. Its description in RNAcentral is "partial 23S ribosomal RNA". It matches the Rfam family "Bacterial large subunit ribosomal RNA", at positions 1 to 1251 of the family's 2925-position model. Lineage: Bacteria; Pseudomonadati; Pseudomonadota; Gammaproteobacteria; Enterobacterales; Enterobacteriaceae. The record is from RNAcentral.